CUGUUUGACUGUCAGUGUGUAUGUGUGUCUGUCAGUGUGUGUCUGUCUGUGUGUCUGUCAGUAUGUGAAUUUCUGCCAGUGAGUUUCUGUUUUUGUGUGUCAGUGAGUGUUUGUCUGUCAGUGAGUGUGUGUCUGCCAGUGUAUGUCUGUCAGUGAGUGAGUGACAUGAGGGGGCAGGCAAAAUGGAUCUUUGCCUAGGGUGGCAGAAAUCCUUGCACUGGCCCUACUCCUGUCAAC
Molecule: non-coding RNA, 237 nt
Organism: Pelobates cultripes (western spadefoot toad)
Lineage: Eukaryota; Metazoa; Chordata; Amphibia; Anura; Pelobatidae
Source: the annotation of a GenBank genome assembly